GAGAACAGAAGAGAAAUUAGAAGAGGGUCCUGCUAGCUCCACCUCGAGAACACUGGGAGUAUGGGCUUACAGGAGAAGAGGAAAGUGGUGAGGUCACCAGCUGAAGAGUGGAUGGGGAGAAGAGAGAAGUGAAACUCAUUGAGAAAUACAGUGCGUCAGCUGGGAAAUCAUACAGGGUCAUUGGCCACCAGGCCAUGAGGACAAAGGGAGCAGAAUCGAUGAACAGGAUUUCAGAUGGCUGAAGAUCCUGGUUCAGUACUCAGCACCCACAUCGUGGCUCACCACCAUCCAUAUCUCCAGUUCCCGGGGACACCAACAUCCUCUUCUGAACUCGGUGGGUACACAGUGCACAUACAUACAUUCAGGCAAAACAUUG
RNAcentral lists this long non-coding RNA (376 nucleotides) under Mus pahari (shrew mouse). RNAcentral's name for it is "RIKEN cDNA 0610043K17 gene (MGP_PahariEiJ_G0006208.1)". The record is from RNAcentral. Lineage: Eukaryota; Metazoa; Chordata; Mammalia; Rodentia; Muridae.